AUAGAAUAACCAUUUUAUGGUUUUUGCUAAAAAACUAUCAAUAUGGUUAUUUUUUAAGAAUUUUUCAAUGAAGAAAUUUAACCAUUUUGGAAGUUUUCGUGCAUUAACCAUUAAACGGUUGAAAAGCUUGAAGUUUUUUCAUCGCCAUUUUGAAAGUUACGUGAAGCAAACCGAACGCGUUUCGCAAAAUCUUUUUUUCGCACGGAUAGAAUAAAAUUCCAAAUAAAUAUAUACCUGUGGUUCGGGUGUGCGUGGAGAGAUUCUGAAAGUGCACCAGUUGGAAGAAUCCGCAAGAGUCCGGAUUCAGUUCCGGUGAAACUUAAACGUGACGUCUUGCGCGGGAGUACUAAUUUAUUACCGGAACGAGCGCACCUAUUGCCACAAAAAUUGGUCAUCCCGAUCGUUCUCCUUAUUCUGAUGGAGCUGGGGCGGGUCGGACAACCCAAAAAGCAAGGAUCAUCCCCGGUGCAUUUAGCGCUAAGAAGCCGAAAAGCGAACAGUGUAAACCGGUCAAAAAUGAAGGAAUACGCCAUCCCGAAAAGCUCCCGUCGGAGCAGAGCAGCUUCGUGACACAGCGGAUGGUCCACAUCAAGUCGAAUGCGAACAAGAUCGUCCGAAAGCCGCUGCUCAAGAAUCGGGAAACAAAGUUUUGGAAACAGGAAUUCUCAUUGCCGAUUACCGGAGAGUCGGGCGGGACCAGAUGUGCAUCAAACCGAACUUUAUGAAGACGGGAGUGUCGUUGAAAUAUGAGAAGGUGGAACAUGGUCGACUCAUUCUGGUGUUCCAGCACCGGGGCAAGAAUAUUGCUAAUAAGGAGGCGAUGCCGCCAUGGCCAGGCUAGGAUUGCCUAUAAGCGUAGGUCGGUUUUCUCAAGCAGACCGAGGGUGUGGACGCGACGCUUAAAAUGGUAGAACCCUGGAUUAUCUGGGACCACCCGAAUAUUGUGACGUUUCGGGGGUGAUCUACAAAUAUGUUCAAAGCAGAAAAUGUGGAAGAGGAACCGAAAAAGAUUCUGAAUACUUCUAAUAUUCAUAUAUUUUUAUGUAUUGUCUAUCACGAUUUUUUAAUUUCAAAACAAAUGAAAAACAUCAAAAUAAACACUACCGGAAACAAGCAUGUUAAACCA
This is a long non-coding RNA of Uranotaenia lowii, 1126 nucleotides long. RefSeq lists it as uncharacterized. Lineage: Eukaryota; Metazoa; Arthropoda; Insecta; Diptera; Culicidae. The record is from RefSeq and is a predicted model, not a curated record. The transcript has 3 exons.